Myotis daubentonii (Daubenton's bat) is the source of this 2936-nucleotide long non-coding RNA. RefSeq lists it as uncharacterized. The record is from RefSeq and is a predicted model, not a curated record. NCBI's taxonomy places the organism in Eukaryota, Metazoa, Chordata, Mammalia, Chiroptera, Vespertilionidae.
GCCCUCGGGCUGGCCCCAACAGCGCCGGAUGCACUCGCGGCAGAAGUUGUGGCCGCAGUCGGUCAUCACCGGGUCCAUGAAGUAAUCGAGGCAGAUGGCGCAGGUGGCCUCCUCCUGGAGACCCAAACGUGGGAUUGCUGAUAACAAGAAAGGCCCCAGGUUUACUUAUAGCGACCCAAACCAGGAGGACCCAGCCUCCCCUUGGCUGAGUCCAGCUGUGAGCCUGGAUCUCUGCAUGGGCCGUACCCCAGCUGCCGAUGUUGUUGGUGCCAAGGAGAUGAGCUGGGGACCAUUUGGGCAUCUGGGAGUGGCAGGUGCCCCAUGUCACCCUCCAGCUUCAGCUGCAGACAACAGACGGUGGGAUAGGAGUUGGAGGCCCCCUGCACACCCACUUCAGGAGGUGCCCUCUGAAGCUGCAUCAAAGGGGAUGGAAAUGCACCCCGUAGCCUGCCCCGUGGGCGUGAGAAUCAUUUUAAGCUGGAGGCAGAGAGACACCUUCCGAGGCUCCUGUUAUGUGACCAAAAGCGGAAACUGCUGAGGAAUGAGGGUUGCCACAGGUCCGCCUCCCAGGGGAAGUUUUAUGGCUCUGAAGGAGGUGGAAAGUGGGACACCACUGAUGAACUUUAUCGUUUGUUGGUUUCCCCAAAAUACUUUCUGUUAUGAUCUGAAUGUUCAUGUUCCCCAAAAUUCACAUGUUCAAUCCUAACCCCCAAGGAGAUGGGGCCUUUGGGAGGUGAUGAGGUCAGAAAGGUGGAGCCCUCAGGAAUGGGGCUGCUGCGGAAGAAGGGGCUGAGAGCUCCCAGCCCCCUCUUCCAUGUGAGGACGGUGGGAAGUUGGCUGUCUAUGAACUGGGAAGGAGCCCCCACCCGACUGUGCUGGUGCCCUGGUCUUGGACUUCCAGCCUCCAGAGCCGUGAGCAUGAAGUUCUUGCUGUUCAUAAGCCGCCCAGUCUUGUGUUCUGUGACAACAGCUGGAAUGGACCAAGACACUUUCCCAGUUGCUGUCCUUGGGGGCCUGUCACCUUUCCCUUUGUCUCUUCUCUCCAAGUGUACUGUUCCUUGUUCAGAUGCUAAACAAAACCACCCAGCCGGCCGCACACAUUGCUGUGCUUUCCUCCUGUGACGUGUGCGGGCCACAUGUGUUAACAGUUUGCUUUUCUCUCCUUGAUUUGUCUUUUCUCAGUCUGAUUGAGGGUGGAAGAAAAAGGCCCUUUCCUCCCCUACAAAGGGUCACCUGGCCUGCCCACACAGUGGCCUAGAGGCUGCUUUUGUCAGCCUGGGCUCCUGAAUAACUGGAGGGGAUGCUCAGCUGGCCCUGCCACCUACCUGCUUUAUUGUGUGAGUUACAGACACUUCCACUGUGGGGUCCAGCAUUUGGGGCUGUUUGUUACAGUGGUUGUUCUCCUAUCUGACUGAUACACCCCUGGACACACAGACAUGCACUCAGAUCUCCUUGACCCGUUGCCCUUCACCCCUGGGCCCACCUUGUGCUCCUUCACAGCCUCCUCCACCGGGACCACUCUGUGAGGCCGGUGUUCCUGGGACUCCCUGCAGACCACGCAGAUGGGGCUCUGGUCAUCUUCGCAAAAGAGUUUGAGCACCUCCUGGUGCACCUGGCACAGAUCCCUGCUCUGGAUGCCCGGGUGCUGUCGUGCCAUCUCAGCCACCUUGGUCAGCAGGCGGUUGGGCCGCAGGGUCCUCUGGGGGGACAGCUCGCGGCACUCGGGGCAGGGGAAGACACCCUUGCGCUUCCUCCUGCCCUUCUUGCCUUUGGCCUUCUCCCAAGUCAGCCGGAUGCACUCACGGCAGAAGUUGUGGCCACAGGUGGUCAUCACAGGGUCAGUGAAAUAGUCAAGGCAGAUGGAGCAUGUUGCCUCCUCCUGCAGCUUUCUGGAAAGUUCCACAGCAUCCAUGGCUCCUGGGAAAGAAACAGAGUAUCCGGCCACACCCUCUGCCCAGAACCCCAGGCACCUGAGGUGUCCUCUUGCAGACAGCACUGUACAUGUCCUGUUAGGGGACCUGGCUUGUCUUCAGUAAGAGGCAUAGGUGCCUCUCUGAAAGCUGACAAAGACUCUCCACAAUCGAAUUCAGCCAGGUUCCCCUAUGCUGCCACCUCUAUGCCUAGCCAUGCCCAGUUUUAUUCCAUUUAGAGCCCAUUCCUCCCCUCCUGUGAUGCAUGUGCAGGAAUCCUGCUAGUCAGUUUAGCAACAAGAUCCCUCCCCAUUUCUCUUUGUGAUUUUCCAUCACUAACCCCCUCACCGUGCCCUGGGCCAUCCUUCCUUUGUGUAGGCUACAGUAGGAGAUGACCCCAUCUUCCUCCCUAUUGCAAUAGUCUUGAAUAAAGUCUUCCUUACCGGUGUAACCAGUGUCAGAAUCAGUUUUUCUUUAACAGGACAUCCAUGCAACAAAGGAAAGGAGGACUUUAAAAGGUAAAAUCAGAGUUGGGAAAGUUCUCUGCUUGACCAAACUCUAUUCAGGCUCCCAGAACUUUCCUAAUAGGCUCUGGGCUUCCGUGUUUGUGUCUCCGUUGUCCAAGUUUAAUAAGAAUCCCAAUAUGUGGGUUUAGAUCAGCUCCCCUACCCCAGUGGUUCUCAACCUUCUGGCCCUUUAAAUACAGUUCCUCAUGUUGUGGUGACCCCCAACCAUAAAAUUAUUUUUGUUGCUACUUCAUAACUGUAAUGUUGCUACUGUGAUGAAUCAUAAUGUAAAUAUCUGAUAUGCAGGAUGGUCUUAGGCCACCCCUGUGAAACGGUCGUUCGACCGCCAAAAGGGUCGCAACCCACAGGUUGAGAACCGCUGCCCUACCCAGUGGCUUCCUGUUAGUAAUUUCCUGUCACUCACCCACCUUAACCAUAAAUCCCCACUGGGAGUUGAGCUUUCUGUGGGAUUCUGUGCUUCCCCUACGGCAGUCCUGAAUAAAAUGUUCUUACUGCUCUA